RNAcentral lists this ribosomal RNA (327 nucleotides) under uncultured bacterium. Its description in RNAcentral is "bacterial SSU rRNA". It matches the Rfam family "Bacterial small subunit ribosomal RNA", at positions 471 to 793 of the family's 1533-position model. The record is from RNAcentral.
GACGUUAGCUGCAGAAGAAGCACCGGCUAACUCCGUGCCAGCAGCCGCGGUAAUACGGGAGGGUGCGAGCGUUAAUCGGAAUUACUGGGCGUAAAGCGCAUGCAGGUGGUUUUGUUAAGUCAGAUGUGAAAGCCCCGGGGCUCAACCUCGGAAUUGCAUUUGAAACUGGCAAACUAGAGUACUGUAGAGGGGGUAGGAAUUUCAGGUGUAGCGGUGAAAUGCGUAGAGAUCUGAAGGAAUACCGGUGGCGAAGGCGGCCCCCUGGACCAGAUACUGACACUCAGAUGCGAAAGCGUGGGGAGCAAACAGGAUUAGAUACCCUGGUAG